RNAcentral lists this ribosomal RNA (302 nucleotides) under uncultured Glomeromycotina. Its description in RNAcentral is "SSU rRNA". It matches the Rfam family "Eukaryotic small subunit ribosomal RNA", at positions 1426 to 1727 of the family's 1831-position model. Lineage: Eukaryota; Fungi; Glomeromycota. The record is from RNAcentral.
CUUCUUAGRGGGACUAUCGGUGUUUAACCGAUGGAAGUUUGAGGCAAUAACAGGUCUGUGAUGCCCCUUAGAUGUUCUGGGCCGCACGCGCGCUACACUGAUGAAGUCAUCGAGUUCAUUUCCUUCAUCGGAAGAUGUGGGUAAUCUUUUGAAACUUCAUCGUGCUGGGGAUAGAGCAUUGCAAUUAUUGCUCUUGAACGAGGAAUCCCUAGUAAGCACAAGUCAUCAGCUUGUGCUGAUUACGUCCCUGCCCUUUGUACACACCGCCCGUCGCUACUACCGAUUGAAUGGCUUAGUGAGGC